Molecule: ribosomal RNA, 447 nt
Filed under: uncultured bacterium
Lineage: Bacteria
Description: bacterial SSU rRNA
Rfam family: Bacterial small subunit ribosomal RNA
Source: RNAcentral
UGGGGAAUAUUGGACAAUGGGCGAAAGCCUGAUCCAGCCAUGCCGCGUGAGUGACGAAGGCCUUAGGGUUGUAAAACUCUUUCGUCGGGGACGAUAAUGACGGUACCCGAAGAAGAAGCUCCGGCUAACUUCGUGCCAGCAGCCGCGGUAAUACGAAGGGAGCUAGCGUUGUUCGGAAUCACUGGGCGUAAAGCGCACGUAGGCGGAUAGUUAAGUCAGGGGUGAAAUCCUGGGGCUCAACCCCAGAACUGCCUUUGAUACUGGCUGUCUCGAGGUCGAGAGAGGUUGGUGGAAUUCCUAGUGUAGAGGUGAAAUUCGUAGAUAUUAGGAAGAACACCAGUGGCGAAGGCGGCCAACUGGCUCGAUACUGACGCUGAGGCGCGAAAGCGUGGGGAGCAAACAGGAUUAGAUACCCCUGUAGUCCCUGAGCGGGCUGGCAAGGCGCAU